This 111-nucleotide ribosomal RNA is filed under the name Diaphorina citri (Asian citrus psyllid). The record is from RNAcentral. Lineage: Eukaryota; Metazoa; Arthropoda; Insecta; Hemiptera; Psyllidae.
CGGCGCGGCGAUAGCACGUUGCACGCACCAUUUCCUAAUGGAUCACUGAAGCUAAGCAACGUUGCACUUGGUUGGUAUUCGGAUGGGUAAUGAACUGGGCAGUUGCAUAUU